This is a non-coding RNA of Triticum urartu, 1494 nucleotides long. The record is from RefSeq and is a predicted model, not a curated record. Lineage: Eukaryota; Viridiplantae; Streptophyta; Magnoliopsida; Poales; Poaceae.
CCACCCACCCAUCCCCCGGCGCCGCCUACCUCCACUUCACCGGCGACCUCCGCCAUCUGCCCCCGAUCCUCUCCACCUCCCCUCACCUUCUAUGCCACAGUGGGGCCCCUAGAUCGAGUAGGCGGGCGCCGUCAGAUCCGCCAUGCCCACAGCUCUCUCGGCUCCACCCCAAACCCUACCCACAACCGCCGCCGUGCUCCAUCACCAGCGACCUUGCCACCGCCCCUAUCCCCUCGCCCUAUCUCAAUACCCGCGACGCCGAGCCGGACGAGAGGAGCCACCGCCCCGCAGCACGCUCGCACCAGUACGUACAGGCGGUGCCCCCGUCGGAUCUGAACAAGAAAACCGAGUGGUUCAUGUACCUGGCAUUCCUAGAUCCAUCCGCCCCACCCUCUGCUCACCCUAUCUCCCUCGGUGUUGGGGCAUCUAGAUAGCGCAGGUCAGGUGCUGGCGCUCCAUGAUCUCCAUGCGAUGCGCCGGUGAGGCGAUGGUGAUGCUCGUGGUGGACGCCUCCGCCGUCUUCCACCGACACACAGCCGCGCCCUCCGACGCCGCUCUUCCACGCGAUGAGAGGCUUGGGUGCCGCUCGGCUGGGAUAGAACCCCGCGCUUGACGAUGCCAUGGACAUGGAGGUCUUCAAGGGGAAGCUGAUACCCACACAGCCAGCUCGUGCUCAUUGUGUUUGACUUCCAGCUCGUGCUCUACUGCGACGAGUACCGAUGCCCACACAGGUCUUUAUGAUGCUUUGGAACUAAGGGACGGUGGAUCUGACUACUUGGGAAAGGGUGUUUCCAAGUUCUAUCCGAUGAUACUCGAUUAGGGCCCCAUGUGUUUGAACAACUAGUCAAGUAACAUGGGUCCCCACUGGUGAUACAGCGUCAAGUUUGGAAGCAGCUGGAGUGAAUGUACUGGCGGAGGCCGGGAGCGCCAAGGUGGUGGCAUUCGAUGAGAUCGACCUUAGUGCUUGCUGCUAACAUGUGGAGGAGAAAGCCACAGGAAUCACCAUCUCAACGAAUAGUUUUGUUUGGCACUUACUGUUCCCGGGAUGUAACAUGUGUUUGAACAACUAGUCAAGUAACAUGGGUCCCCACUGGUGAUACAGCGUCAAGUUUGGAAGCAGCUGGAGUGAAUGUACUGGCGGAGGCCGGGAGCGCCAAGGUGGUGGCGUUCGACGAGAUCGACCUUAGUGCUUGCUGCUAACAUGUGGAGGAGAAAGCCACAGGAAUCACCAUCUCAACGGUCCGGCCUUAGUGCUUUCUGCUGACAUUUUCCUGCUAUUGUUCUGCUAGACAUUCUGCUGACAUUCUGCUGACAUUUCUGUUUUAAUUUUUUUGUCAUAGAAUAGUUUUGUUUGGCACUUACUGUUCCCGGGAUGUAAAGAUAUGUAUUGCUGGAAUGAACGCUUGUAAUAUAAUAACAUUGCAUGUUGCUUUGAAGAUGUAUCAGAACUGGGCUAGGCCCAAGAUAGCUUGUGGUGUGAUGAGUUGUAAUGUC